GACGAACGCUGGCGGCGUGCCUAAUACAUGCAAGUAGAACGCUGAAGGAGGAGCUUGCUUCUCUGGAUGAGUUGCGAACGGGUGAGUAACGCGUAGGUAACCUGCCUGGUAGCGGGGGAUAACUAUUGGAAACGAUAGCUAAUACCGCAUAAGAGUAGAUGUUGCAUGACAUUUACUUAAAAGGUGCAAUUGCAUCACUACCAGAUGGACCUGCGUUGUAUUAGCUAGUUGGUGAGGUAACGGCUCACCAAGGCAACGAUACAUAGCCGACCUGAGAGGGGGAUCGGCCACACUGGGACUGAGACACGGCCCAGACUCCUACGGGAGGCAGCAGUAGGGAAUCUUCGGCAAUGGACGGAAGUCUGACCGAGCAACGCCGCGUGAGUGAAGAAGGUUGUCGGAUCGUAAAGCUCUGUUGUAAGAGAAGAACGAGUGUGAGAGUGGAAAGUUCACACUGUGACGGUAUCUUACCAGAAAGGGACGGCUAACUACGUG
RNAcentral lists this ribosomal RNA (495 nucleotides) under uncultured bacterium. RNAcentral describes it as "partial 16S ribosomal RNA". It matches the Rfam family "Bacterial small subunit ribosomal RNA", at positions 28 to 507 of the family's 1533-position model. The record is from RNAcentral.